Triticum dicoccoides is the source of this 1466-nucleotide long non-coding RNA. RefSeq lists it as uncharacterized. The transcript is spliced from 5 exons. Lineage: Eukaryota; Viridiplantae; Streptophyta; Magnoliopsida; Poales; Poaceae. The record is from RefSeq and is a predicted model, not a curated record.
UUCUACGCGGCCCCGCCCAUUCCCUGAUUUCUCGGAUGGAUUGCAACUAAUCAUGAUUCAUUCCCCGAUUCUUCUUUCUCCAUGCCCCUAAUUCCCUCAAGAAAAAGAAAGAACGGAUCCACCAUCGCUUCUCCCUUCCCCUACCUCCGAAUCUGCCCCGAGUUACCCUGCCUCCGGUGGCCGCCCGCGCUCUUGCAAGCCGCCUACGGCCUCCUCUGCAGGACGCCAUGGCCACGGAUUAAAGCUCCGUCGGACUUUCGCUCGCGACUGCCGGCCUUCUUCACGACCAGAUCGACGACGGGGACGACCGGAUCUGCCCCGCCACCUUUCAUUUCUGCCUCGCCUAGCAGCACUGCGCAUCUGCCCCACCUCCCCAGCCAGCGCAGCCGCCCCUCCGUGUCUGAGUCCCUGUGCUGGCCACGCCCACCGCCUGCCCAGCACCGCUCUCCCGUUGCCUUAAACAAUCCAGCUCCACCACUAAUCCAUGCCCCUGCCCCGCGACUGAAGAGGAUCAGGUGACAAAUGUAACAAUUUAUUUGAAUCAAAUGUGAUUUUUCAAUUGUAAAUGUACGAUAGUGCCAAUGUUUAUUCUAUCUGUGUAUCAUCUUCUGUUUACUUCACACGUCUAUUGCACAAUAUCCCAUUUCUGAAUGUUAUGUCUCAAUUUCACAUGCAGUUCAUAUAUUGCAUUGUAAUAACACUUUAUUUCUAACUUAUAAAUCGGAAUGUAACAGGUUCAUUGUAAAUCUGUGACAUUCAUUCUAUAUGAAAUAUGAUAUAUCAGCUUCGGACAAAGAAGUUCAACCUACCACCUUAUUUUCUUGUUAAUGUAUUUUAGUCAAGCUAUCUUAAGUGACUUGUUCCGGCGACGGUCAAGAACUAUCCUGGACAAUGUUAAACAUAGAUAGCAAUGCAUAUUUGCCCUGUUCCACAUGCAUUACAGUUAUGUUGGAUCCUUCUGAAUUUCAUAGAAGCACAAGCUGCUAGCAUAGCGGUGUGCAGGGGGGAGGCCUUGAGCAGACAGGUGACUGCGUCGCUGGGGCAGCGGAUAUGAGGCAUAUCUGCAGGCAGCAGAUGGUAGGCAAGAGGCACAUGGCAGUGUGGCGAGAUGGCCAGUGGCUUGCUGCUGUUGCGAGAGGGCUACCUAGAAGAUGGACAUGAAGAAUAUGGUGCCAGCAAUGGCAAAGGGGAAGGCAGGGAGUGGUAAAGUGAAAGGUUUGACAAGAUACUUUGGCUUAGUAUACGAGAUAUAGAUACUCCACAACAUGUGUAUGGUCGCGUAACUCUUGGUUCUCCUAAAUCAGCCUUCGAUCACAUGAAGGUAUACCCCGGUGCAGGUUUGUGAUAAGAUCGGAUUUGAGGUGUGUUUAUAACGAUCACAUAAAUGAAAGGCUGCAGGAAGAUUUUGGAAAUGGCAAUGGUGUCAACAAAGACAUGAGACAAGAGCUUGGACUGACGGCAUCGAC